This 482-nucleotide ribosomal RNA is filed under the name uncultured bacterium. RNAcentral's name for it is "bacterial SSU rRNA". It matches the Rfam family "Bacterial small subunit ribosomal RNA", at positions 29 to 506 of the family's 1533-position model. The record is from RNAcentral.
UUGAACGCUGGCGGAAUGCUUUACACAUGCAAGUCGAGCGGCAGCGCGGGGGCAACCCUGGCGGCGAGCGGCGAACGGGUGAGUAAUGCGUCGGAACGUACCGAGUAAUGGGGGAUAACGCAGCGAAAGCUGUGCUAAUACCGCACACGCCCUGAGGGGGAAAGUGGGGGAUCGCAAGACCUCACGUUAUUCGAGCGGCCGACGUCUGAUUAGCUAGUUGGUGGGGUAAAGGCUCACCAAGGCGACGAUCAGUAGCGGGUCUGAGAGGAGGAUCCGUCACACUGGAACUGAGACACGGUCCAGACUCCUACGGGAGGCAGCAGUGGGGAAUUUUGGACAAUGGGGGCAACCCUGAUCCAGCCAUUCCGCGUGAGUGAAGAAGGCCUUCGGGUUGUAAAGCUCUUUCAGCCGGAACAAAACGGUACGCUCUAACAUAGCGUGCUAAUGACGGUACCGGCAGAAGAAGCACCGGCUAACUACGU